UCCACCCCCGUGGGAGAGGCCGGCCCAAGCCGGCGCCGAAGGCGCAAUCCCGCCCGGAAUCGCUCAGGCAAAAGGACCGUGGGGGGAAG
Molecule: non-coding RNA, 89 nt
Filed under: Candidatus Thiodiazotropha endolucinida
Lineage: Bacteria; Pseudomonadati; Pseudomonadota; Gammaproteobacteria; Chromatiales; Sedimenticolaceae
Also listed under: 1 other name
Description: Glycine riboswitch aptamer
Rfam family: Glycine riboswitch aptamer
About the family: This family represents the bacterial glycine riboswitch. Glycine riboswitches usually consist of two metabolite-binding aptamers domains with similar structures in tandem. The aptamers cooperatively bind glycine to regulate the expression of downstream genes.
Source: Rfam by way of RNAcentral